Molecule: long non-coding RNA, 207 nt
Filed under: Capsicum annuum
Lineage: Eukaryota; Viridiplantae; Streptophyta; Magnoliopsida; Solanales; Solanaceae
Description: long non-coding RNA (CANN_LNC015843)
Source: RNAcentral
ACAACAACAACAACAAACCCAGUGUAUUCCCACAUAGUGAGGUCUGGGGAGGGUAAGAUGUACGCAGUCCAUACCUCUACCUCUAAAGAAGUAGAAAGGCUGUUUCCGAUAGACCCCCAGCUCGAGACACGGAAUACUACACAAAUACAUAGUAAAGCAUGGAACAAGAUGGCAUAACAAAAUACGACACCCACAAGUAAUAGAAAA